GCCAUUGGUACUGGCAGCAUCGCGCUCAAGCGCGAGAUAAUCUGGUGACUGGCCGA
RNAcentral lists this transfer RNA (56 nucleotides) under Pavlova sp. CCMP459. Its description in RNAcentral is "partial Selenocysteine transfer RNA". The record is from RNAcentral. Lineage: Eukaryota; Haptophyta; Pavlovophyceae; Pavlovales; Pavlovaceae.